ACAGAUAUUUUUUUUUCCCUUUCAUAG
This 27-nucleotide non-coding RNA is filed under the name Cricetulus griseus (Chinese hamster). The record is from RNAcentral. Lineage: Eukaryota; Metazoa; Chordata; Mammalia; Rodentia; Cricetidae.